Molecule: ribosomal RNA, 1786 nt
Filed under: Escherichia coli
Lineage: Bacteria; Pseudomonadati; Pseudomonadota; Gammaproteobacteria; Enterobacterales; Enterobacteriaceae
Description: partial 23S ribosomal RNA
Rfam family: Bacterial large subunit ribosomal RNA
Source: RNAcentral
GUGACUGCGUACCUUUUGUAUAAUGGGUCAGCGACUUAUAUUCUGUAGCAAGGUUAACCGAAUAGGGGAGCCGAAGGGAAACCGAGUCUUAACUGGGCGUUAAGUUGCAGGGUAUAGACCCGAAACCCGGUGAUCUAGCCAUGGGCAGGUUGAAGGUUGGGUAACACUAACUGGAGGACCGAACCGACUAAUGUUGAAAAAUUAGCGGAUGACUUGUGGCUGGGGGUGAAAGGCCAAUCAAACCGGGAGAUAGCUGGUUCUCCCCGAAAGCUAUUUAGGUAGCGCCUCGUGAAUUCAUCUCCGGGGGUAGAGCACUGUUUCGGCAAGGGGGUCAUCCCGACUUACCAACCCGAUGCAAACUGCGAAUACCGGAGAAUGUUAUCACGGGAGACACACGGCGGGUGCUAACGUCCGUCGUGAAGAGGGAAACAACCCAGACCGCCAGCUAAGGUCCCAAAGUCAUGGUUAAGUGGGAAACGAUGUGGGAAGGCCCAGACAGCCAGGAUGUUGGCUUAGAAGCAGCCAUCAUUUAAAGAAAGCGUAAUAGCUCACUGGUCGAGUCGGCCUGCGCGGAAGAUGUAACGGGGCUAAACCAUGCACCGAAGCUGCGGCAGCGACGCUUAUGCGUUGUUGGGUAGGGGAGCGUUCUGUAAGCCUGUGAAGGUGUGCUGUGAGGCAUGCUGGAGGUAUCAGAAGUGCGAAUGCUGACAUAAGUAACGAUAAAGCGGGUGAAAAGCCCGCUCGCCGGAAGACCAAGGGUUCCUGUCCAACGUUAAUCGGGGCAGGGUGAGUCGACCCCUAAGGCGAGGCCGAAAGGCGUAGUCGAUGGGAAACAGGUUAAUAUUCCUGUACUUGGUGUUACUGCGAAGGGGGGACGGAGAAGGCUAUGUUGGCCGGGCGACGGUUGUCCCGGUUUAAGCGUGUAGGCUGGUUUUCCAGGCAAAUCCGGAAAAUCAAGGCUGAGGCGUGAUGACGAGGCACUACGGUGCUGAAGCAACAAAUGCCCUGCUUCCAGGAAAAGCCUCUAAGCAUCAGGUAACAUCAAAUCGUACCCCAAACCGACACAGGUGGUCAGGUAGAGAAUACCAAGGCGCUUGAGAGAACUCGGGUGAAGGAACUAGGCAAAAUGGUGCCGUAACUUCGGGAGAAGGCACGCUGAUAUGUAGGUGAAGUCCCUUGCGGAUGGAGCUGAAAUCAGUCGAAGAUACCAGCUGGCUGCAACUGUUUAUUAAAAACACAGCACUGUGCAAACACGAAAGUGGACGUAUACGGUGUGACGCCUGCCCGGUGCCGGAAGGUUAAUUGAUGGGGUCAGCGCAAGCGAAGCUCUUGAUCGAAGCCCCGGUAAACGGCGGCCGUAACUAUAACGGUCCUAAGGUAGCGAAAUUCCUUGUCGGGUAAGUUCCGACCUGCACGAAUGGCGUAAUGAUGGCCAGGCUGUCUCCACCCGAGACUCAGUGAAAUUGAACUCGCUGUGAAGAUGCAGUGUACCCGCGGCAAGACGGAAAGACCCCGUGAACCUUUACUAUAGCUUGACACUGAACAUUGAGCCUUGAUGUGUAGGAUAGGUGGGAGGCUUUGAAGUGUGGACGCCAGUCUGCAUGGAGCCGACCUUGAAAUACCACCCUUUAAUGUUUGAUGUUCUAACGUGGACCCGUGAUCCGGGUUGCGGACAGUGUCUGGUGGGUAGUUUGACUGGGGCGGUCUCCUCCUAAAGAGUAACGGAGGAGCACGAAGGUUGGCUAAUCCUGGUCGGACAUCAGGAGGUUAGUGCAAUGGCAUAAGC